GGGUACCAUAGAGUGAGAGGGAACAGGAAGCGGAGGCAGAAUCAGAGGAUUCUGGAAAGGUCUCUGUGUUUUCUUUUCCACUGAGAAUACAGAAAUCACGAUUAAUUAGUAAAGCUUUGUGGAUGGAAAUCUGUACAAUUUCAGGAGGGGAUACAUAUUACCACGUUAUUUUUGGAUGCUGGGCUUUGCAGCGAUUUGACAUUCUUCUUCAAUCAGGAAUAAGAAACAAAAUAAUGACAAUGUAAAGUAAAUUUUAAAAGAGCCAGAAAUAUAUUUCAGAUGGGAAUAAAUUCUCCAAGACAUCUGAUCCUAAUCUCAGUGGCUGAAGACUAAAGUUUUCAAGAUGUUGGAAAAAUGUGGCUAUAUGGAUACGUAAAUUUAUCUUUGCCUACUGCAAUUGAUUUUGAGAAGCUCUGGAUGCCGGAAUAAUAAUAAUAAAAAAAAAAAAAAAAAAAAAAAAAGGAGAGCUCUGAGAAACUUCAGUCUCAAAGAAGCUGCAGCUCCCAAGGAGAAACCUUUUUUUAACAAUUCCAUUUUCUGCUAGAAAUGCAGCUUUUUGUUUUCAUGAUAGCAAAAGAUCCAGUGGCUAAAUUCUGAGAUCUGCUUUUUCUUAAAAUAACAAAGGUCAACUGAAUGCAUUGGAAUUGGUAGUAGGAGAGGGAGCUGAGAUGACACACUCCUUUAGAUACUUCCUGUCUAUAGUCCCCCUGUACUCCAUUUCUCAUCAAGACAGCAGUGGUGUGAGUUGAGGUAGUUUUCUGAUGACAUCUGCAAACACCUACACUUUUUACUUCUACAGUAGCAGACAAUCUCCAGCUGAUGCUGAAGUGAUACCACCAACCCUGUUGUUUAUGUCUGUCCUGAAGUGGGAGCCCCACCUUUUUAACUUGGACAAUGUCUUUACUGCCCUACUGCAACCAAUGAGUAUCAUGAACAGCUGUGAUUUAGAACAGUUUUUUUUCUAACCUAGUUUUUAUGUGAUUAUUUUUGUUUUUAACAAAAACAUCUGAGACACUACUGUAGUUUAUGCA
This 1031-nucleotide long non-coding RNA is filed under the name Gallus gallus (chicken). The record is from RNAcentral. Lineage: Eukaryota; Metazoa; Chordata; Aves; Galliformes; Phasianidae.